RNAcentral lists this ribosomal RNA (1064 nucleotides) under Alternaria alternata. RNAcentral's name for it is "SSU rRNA". It matches the Rfam family "Eukaryotic small subunit ribosomal RNA", at positions 55 to 1127 of the family's 1831-position model. Lineage: Eukaryota; Fungi; Ascomycota; Dothideomycetes; Pleosporales; Pleosporaceae. The record is from RNAcentral.
AGGGUCUAGGUAUAAGGCAAUUAUACCGUGAAACUGCGAAUGGCUCAUUAAAUCAGUUAUCGUUUAUUUGAUAAUACCUUACUACUUGGAUAACCGUGGUAAUUCUAGAGCUAAUACAUGCUGAAAAUCCCGACUUCGGAAGGGAUGUGUUUAUUAGAUAAAAAACCAAUGCCCUUCGGGGCUUUUUGGUGAUUCAUGAUAACUUUACGGAUCGCAUAGCCUUGCGCUGGCGACGGUUCAUUCAAAUUUCUGCCCUAUCAACUUUCGAUGGUAAGGUAUUGGCUUACCAUGGUUUCAACGGGUAACGGGGAAUUAGGGUUCGAUUCCGGAGAGGGAGCCUGAGAAACGGCUACCACAUCCAAGGAAGGCAGCAGGCGCGCAAAUUACCCAAUCCCGACACGGGGAGGUAGUGACAAUAAAUACUGAUACAGGGCUCUUUUGGGUCUUGUAAUUGGAAUGAGUACAAUUUAAACCUCUUAACGAGGAACAAUUGGAGGGCAAGUCUGGUGCCAGCAGCCGCGGUAAUUCCAGCUCCAAUAGCGUAUAUUAAAGUUGUUGCAGUUAAAAAGCUCGUAGUUGAAACUUGGGCCUGGCUGGCGGGUCCGCCUCACCGCGUGCACUCGUCCGGCCGGGCCUUCCUUCUGAAGAACCUCAUGCCCUUCACUGGGCGUGCUGGGGAAUCAGGACUUUUACUUUGAAAAAAUUAGAGUGUUCAAAGCAGGCCUUUGCUCGAAUACGUUAGCAUGGAAUAAUAAAAUAGGGCGUGCGUUUCUAUUUUGUUGGUUUCUAGAGACGCCGCAAUGAUUAACAGGAACAGUCGGGGGCAUCAGUAUUCAGUUGUCAGAGGUGAAAUUCUUGGAUUUACUGAAGACUAACUACUGCGAAAGCAUUUGCCAAGGAUGUUUUCAUUAAUCAGUGAACGAAAGUUAGGGGAUCGAAGACGAUCAGAUACCGUCGUAGUCUUAACCGUAAACUAUGCCGACUAGGGAUCGGGCGAUGUUCUUUUUCUGACUCGCUCGGCACCUUACGAGAAAUCAAAGUUUUUGGGUCCUGGGGGGAUUAUG